CACGUAGGAGGCGAGCGUUGUCCGGAAUCAUUGGGCGUAAAGAGCGCGCAGGCGGCUUGGCAAGUCGGGUGUGAAAUCCCGGGGCUCAACCCCGGGACUGCAUUCGAUACUGUCAGGCUAGAGGUAGGUAGGGGAGAUCGGAAUUCCUGGUGUAGCGGUGAAAUGCGCAGAUAUCAGGAGGAACACCUGAGGUGAAGACGGGUUGCUGGGCCAACACUGACGCUGAGGCGCGAAAGCCAGGGGAGCAAACGGG
RNAcentral lists this ribosomal RNA (253 nucleotides) under uncultured bacterium. RNAcentral describes it as "partial 16S ribosomal RNA". It matches the Rfam family "Bacterial small subunit ribosomal RNA", at positions 524 to 776 of the family's 1533-position model. The record is from RNAcentral.